UGGCGGACGGGUGAGUAACGCGUGGGUAACCUGCCUCACACAGGGGGAUAACAGUUGGAAACGACCGCUAAUACCGCAUAAGCCAACAGGGGCGCAUGCUCUGGUUGGAAAAGAUUAAUCGGUGUGAGAUGGACCCGCGUCUGAUUAGCCAGUUGGCAGGGUAACGGCCUACCAAAGCGACGAUCAGUAGCCGGCCUGAGAGGGUGAACGGCCACAUUGGGACUGAGACACGGCCCAAACUCCUACGGAAGGCAGCAG
This 258-nucleotide ribosomal RNA is filed under the name uncultured bacterium. RNAcentral's name for it is "partial 16S ribosomal RNA". It matches the Rfam family "Bacterial small subunit ribosomal RNA", at positions 96 to 354 of the family's 1533-position model. The record is from RNAcentral.